UACGUAGGGUGCGAGCGUUAAUCGGAAUUACUGGGCGUAAAGCGUGCGCAGGCGGUUCUCCAAGUCCGUUGUGAAAGCCCCGGGCUCAACCUGGGAAUGGCAGUGGAAACUAGGGGACUGGAAUCUGGCAGAGGGGGGGGUGGAAUGCCGCGUGUAGCAGUGAAAUGCGUAGAGAUGCGGCGGAACACCGAUGGCGAAGGCAGCCCCUGGGUCAAGAUUGACGCUCAUGCACGAAAGCGUGGGGAGCAAACAGGA
This 255-nucleotide ribosomal RNA is filed under the name uncultured bacterium. RNAcentral describes it as "partial 16S ribosomal RNA". It matches the Rfam family "Bacterial small subunit ribosomal RNA", at positions 524 to 777 of the family's 1533-position model. The record is from RNAcentral.